Molecule: ribosomal RNA, 324 nt
Filed under: uncultured eukaryote
Lineage: Eukaryota
Description: partial 18S ribosomal RNA
Rfam family: Eukaryotic small subunit ribosomal RNA
Source: RNAcentral
CCCUUAGAUGUUCUGGGCCGCACGCGCGCUACACUGACGGAGUCAACGAGUUGUCCUGCAUCGGAAGGUGUGGGUAAUCUUUUGAAACUUCGUCGUGCUGGGGAUAGAUCUUUGCAAUUUUCGAUCUUGAACGAGGAAUUCCUAGUAAGCGUGAUUCAUCAGAUCGCGUUGAUUACGUCCCUGCCCUUUGUACACACCGCCCGUCGCUACUACCGAUUGAAUGGUUUAGUGAGGCCUCGGGACUGGCGCGCUCGAGUAGCAAUACACCUGCGCGCCGGGAACUUGGUCAAACCUGAUCAUUUAGAGGAAGUAAAAGUCGUAACA